This 962-nucleotide long non-coding RNA is filed under the name Monodelphis domestica (gray short-tailed opossum). RNAcentral describes it as "lncRNA (ENSMODG00000038511.1)". The record is from RNAcentral. Lineage: Eukaryota; Metazoa; Chordata; Mammalia; Didelphimorphia; Didelphidae.
GGAUUGGUCACUCCCCGAAGUGGAGGGGGGGCAUGGCCCCUCCCUAGGACAGGAUUGGUCUAAUUCAAGACCAAUUCCAUGUCAGGAAGUAGGGCAUGGUCCCUCCCCAGCACAGGAUUGGUCCACUCAAGACCAAUCCCACACCAGGAAAUAGGAAGGCGGGACCCCCUAGGUUACCCUGCUGGAUGCAGUUCCCCCAACUCCAAUAUUUUAAAACCCACAAAAAGGAGGCGGAGAUGUUUAUAAAUGACUUUCCCAGGGCCACAAAGCUAAUCAGUUUGUGGGGCAAGAUAUGAACCCAGGUCUUCCUUAUUCCAAGCCCAUUGAUCUUGUCCCCUGAGUCUGAAGCACCAGAUUUCUUCAUGGAAAAGAGGACUAAGGGAAAAAAAAAUUCUGGCUAUCUGUUAUGGCCCUGGAGACCACCAUCCAUAAUCUGGCCCCAUUCCACUCCUCUGACUUAUCAUUUCUGUAGUUCAUUUCUUAGAGAAAAAAUGACUAUUGAUCCAGUUGACCUGUUGCUAUUCCUCUGUACAAGCCGAAUGUCUCAUUCCAAGGAGAGACAACACAUUGUGACUAUAAACAAUUUGAUGGCAAAGCCCAAUGGGUCACAGAAUUCAAACAUGGCAAGUAAAAAUUGGAUCAGAGAAAAUGUUUGCUGUUGUAUUUUAGAGAUAGAUGGGACCUUCAGCAUUAUACAGUGUGUGUAGAGAAAGUAAGUAAUGUGUCAGUAGGAAUGUAGGUCUUUGUGUUGCUUAUAUAUGCUCUGAGGCAGCUAUCCUACUGACAGGGAUGAGUUGAAAGAAAAUUGAGGGAAUUGAGAGGAUUAAGUUAGCAAGUAGUUAAUUGUAGGAAUUGGGUGAACCAUAACUACUUCCAUCUUGUAACUCAGUUCUGGAGUUAAGUUCCUUUUCUAUUCAAUUAUGGUCCAAAUUCUAUCCUGUGAGAAAAGUUUAUACAAUUGC